This 706-nucleotide ribosomal RNA is filed under the name Bacillus sp. (in: firmicutes). RNAcentral describes it as "bacterial SSU rRNA". It matches the Rfam family "Bacterial small subunit ribosomal RNA", at positions 268 to 973 of the family's 1533-position model. Lineage: Bacteria; Bacillati; Bacillota; Bacilli; Caryophanales; Bacillaceae. The record is from RNAcentral.
CCGGGGCGUUGCUCCGUCAGACUUUCGUCCCAUUGGGGGAAGGAUCCCCCUCCCCCUUGACUCCUUACCGAGCAGCAGUAGGGAAUCUUCCGCAAUGGACGAAAGUCUGACGGAGCAACGCCGCGUGAGUGAUGAAGGUUUUCGGAUCGUAAAGCUCUGUUGUUAGGGAAGAACAAGUGCCGUUCAAAUAGGGCGGCACCUUGACGGUACCUAACCAGAAAGCCACGGCUAACUACGUGCCAGCAGCCGCGGUAAUACGUAGGUGGCAAGCGUUGUCCGGAAUUAUUGGGCGUAAAGGGCUCGCAGGCGGUUUCUUAAGUCUGAUGUGAAAGCCCCCGGCUCAACCGGGGAGGGUCAUUGGAAACUGGGGAACUUGAGUGCAGAAGAGGAGAGUGGAAUUCCACGUGUAGCGGUGAAAUGCGUAGAGAUGUGGAGGAACACCAGUGGCGAAGGCGACUCUCUGGUCUGUAACUGACGCUGAGGAGCGAAAGCGUGGGGAGCGAACAGGAUUAGAUACCCUGGUAGUCCACGCCGUAAACGAUGAGUGCUAAGUGUUAGGGGGUUUCCGCCCCUUAGUGCUGCAGCUAACGCAUUAAGCACUCCGCCUGGGGAGUACGGUCGCAAGACUGAAACUCAAAGGAAUUGACGGGGGCCCGCACAAGCGGUGGAGCAUGUGGUUUAAUUCGAAGCAACGCGAAGAACCUUA